UCCCUACGGGGGGCAGCAGUGAGGAAUAUUGGUCAAUGGGCGGAAGCCUGAACCAGCCAAGUCGCGUGAGGGAUUAAGGCCCUAUGGGUCGUAAACCUCUUUUGUCAGGGAGCAAUGGCGUCCACGUGUGGGCGUAUGGAGAGUACCUGAAGAAAAAGCAUCGGCUAACUCCGUGCCAGCAGCCGCGGUAAUACGGAGGAUGCGAGCGUUAUCCGGAUUUAUUGGGCGUAAAGGGUGCGUAGGCGGCCUGCUAAGUCUGGAGUGAAAGGUACCGGCUCAACCGGUACAGGCUCUGGAAACUGGCG
This 305-nucleotide ribosomal RNA is filed under the name uncultured bacterium. Its description in RNAcentral is "bacterial SSU rRNA". It matches the Rfam family "Bacterial small subunit ribosomal RNA", at positions 335 to 638 of the family's 1533-position model. The record is from RNAcentral.